RNAcentral lists this ribosomal RNA (273 nucleotides) under uncultured bacterium. RNAcentral describes it as "partial 16S ribosomal RNA". It matches the Rfam family "Bacterial small subunit ribosomal RNA", at positions 524 to 796 of the family's 1533-position model. The record is from RNAcentral.
UACGGAGGGUGCGAGCGUUAAUCGGAAUUACUGGGCGUAAAGCGUGCGUAGGCGGUUUGCUAAGUCAGAUGUGAAAGCCCCGGGCUCAACCUGGGAACUGCAUUUGAAACUGGCCGACUAGAGUUGGGUAGAGGAGAGCGGAAUUUCAGGUGUAGCGGUGAAAUGCGUAGAGAUCUGAAGGAACACCUGUGGCGAAGGCGGCUCUCUGGACCUAAACUGACGCUGAGGCACGAAAGCGUGGGUAGCAAACAGGAUUAGAUACCCCCGUAGUCC